RNAcentral lists this long non-coding RNA (999 nucleotides) under Salmo salar (Atlantic salmon). Its description in RNAcentral is "lncRNA (ENSSSAG00000084908.1)". Lineage: Eukaryota; Metazoa; Chordata; Actinopteri; Salmoniformes; Salmonidae. The record is from RNAcentral.
UUUUGACAAAAGAUAAGAAAUGACAUAGAGCGUGUAUAACAAGUUAUAUGUCCCUCUAAUAUCUGUCCACUCCAGAGUUCCGGGGGACGCGCUUUGAGGAUGACAGGUAUUGAGCUCAAGUAUGGAUCUGAUUUGAGAACUGAUAAAAGACUGACAAAGUGCUGGAUGUGCCUAACGACUGCAGGACAAGUCAUUCAAAGAACGACAGAGUUGGACUGCACUAUCUGUCAACUUAUUGAAUGCAGAUGAGCAUCCACAUUCCUGCUGCGUUUUGGUCGUCCAUUCCAGACGACAACCGUGACACAUCCAUAGAUGCUACUACUACUACUGCUGUAGACAAAGAUGCCAACAUGUGUCUACUACAUGAAGUUGAAACAGCGGACCUUGGAGUGCCUAGAGAGCCCCAGGUAGGCAGAAUCUCAGCAGAAAGCUGUCAGACAGACUCUGAUGCAGAGGAGAACAUGGAGGAGGAAGAGGAGUUAAAGAGUAGCAGCAGUGCCAGUGAAGGAGUAACAGAAGAGAUUGAACAAGCAAGGAAUAAGGGAAAGGAAGAGUAUGGACAGAUUCGAAGUGAGGAAGAUGAGGUUUUAGAUGAUCCAGCACUGUGGCCACAAAAAGUACAAGACCAUGAAAGAGAAGCUAUCGUUCGCAGACUAGCCAACAGGUGUGGUGAGGAGACAGAACUGUAUAAAAUCAUGCCCCCAGACUCAGAAGGCAAGCCAUUCCCCAACUAUUUACGGUACAGUAAGUCACCAAACAGAAGAGAAAAGGUGCAGAGGGACUGGCUUAUUUAUAGUUGAGUGUGAAGGCAUUAUAUUGCAUUCCAUUUGUUCUUUUUUCUCAUGAGCAAAGUUUACCAUCACCCAGUUCUCUAAAUAGUAAGGAUGGCUAUAAGAUGUCAUCACUGAAAAGGCGGAGAAUGUAUGACAAUCCACCAGAGCACGAAUAUGGUGUGUCUCACAAGAACUGUUCCUGGAAAUGGAAAAAUCUGCAGCUACA